Molecule: small nuclear RNA, 193 nt
Filed under: Cyclospora cayetanensis
Lineage: Eukaryota; Apicomplexa; Conoidasida; Eucoccidiorida; Eimeriidae
Description: U2 spliceosomal RNA
Rfam family: U2 spliceosomal RNA
About the family: U2 is a small nuclear RNA (snRNA) component of the spliceosome (involved in pre-mRNA splicing).
Source: Rfam by way of RNAcentral
AUACCUUCUCGGCCUUUUGGCUAUGAUCAAGUGUAGUAUCUGUUCUUAUCAGUGUGACAACUGAUAUGGAUCCAACUGGAUCCAACAAUGUCACAACAAUUUUUGCUUGGGGAGGGAUGAGUCUAGAGCUUGCUCUGCUCACCUUCAGGCGUUGCCCCGCCCUUGCACUGUCGGCGGGAGCGGCGUACCCUCU